Molecule: non-coding RNA, 2371 nt
Organism: Malus domestica (apple)
Lineage: Eukaryota; Viridiplantae; Streptophyta; Magnoliopsida; Rosales; Rosaceae
Source: RefSeq, a predicted model, not a curated record
AUCAAGCUUAAUUCUUUAAUUUUCUUCUUUCUAAGUUCAGAAUCAAGCUUUAAUGCCUUAAUUUGAAGAUUUUGGUAUUGUAAUUAGAUUCAAUUUGGGAGAUUAAAUUAGAAAUUGGGGGUUUUAGUGUUAAAUCGAAUUUUAGGGUGGUGGGUUGGUCUGCUAUGGUGUUAGUUUUCUAGUUUUUUUCUCUGCUUCUUCACAAAUUUCGUAUUCUUACAAGUUCAUAUUUUUGCACCAAAUGGCAAAAAUAUAGGUUGAAACUGCGGGCGAAGAAAUUGGUUCCUCAGUUCAAUCGAUAAAAAUAAAAGACGCAUAAAGGAAAAGAAUGCAGGAGUGAUUAAAGAACUUAGCAACUAAUGUGACUGCUUAUGGACUCAAGUUCCAGUUAACACGAUGAUACGAAAUACAAUGUCCUACUGUCACAAAAGAAAAAAAUGUAUGUAGACAAUUAGACAUCUAUGUUUGUUAGCUUUCCUAGUACUAAAAAUCUGCUAUGUUUCCAUCAUUUUGAUUGCUAUUCGCCUUUGGGAUUUAACCUAGUUGCAACACAUGUAUAUGUAAAGGCACUUUCAGUGGAGGAAUUUGCAGUUCGACUUGCAAAGCACUUCACAUCGCUUUACCAGCAGGUAAAUACUAUGUAAUUUAAGCGUUUUUUUUAAAUUAAAUUUCAUUAGUUAAUCCCAUAUUGUAGACGAAAAGGGAAAAUGGACGAUACUUUUACUAUUGUCGCUGCUGAAACGAUGGAUGUUGUUGUUAUUCUUGGUCGGCUUCUUGGUCUUUGUUUUCUCAUAUAACUGCUCUUCCUUUGGUUAGAGGUGCAUCUUCUUCUAAUGGUUUACGGUGUAUAUGUUAUUAUCACUAAUUGGUGGUACUCACUAAAUCAGUUAUGAAUUUCUGGUCACUUUAACUAAUCAAGUUUUCAUCUGGACAGCUUAAUGUUUUUACCCUUUCCCUGAAAGCAUGACUCAUGGAAAUUCAUUAAUAUUUCAUUUGUAGAAGUUGGUUUCUUUUAAGUUUGAUUGGUUGUCUUAAGUUUGGACUUUUUUUUGCUCUGUGUCUCUCUAUCUCAAGCUUGAACACGAACACCCGCCCUCUUUCCCAUACACACACAGUUUCACACUUUGAAUACUACCUUGUUGGAACUGCAGCAACUUCUUCUGGCCAUGUUUUAUGCUUUUAGUAUUUGCAUAAUCUAGAAAGAGAGUUGUCGUUUUGAAAUAUAAAAACGAAUUAAAAAAAGGAGAAAGCUUUCUUCCCUGCAACUUUAGUGUUAGAGUUAUUGAUCUAAUAAGUUGUCAGAUGUUCCUAAUUGUUGUGAACGUAAGGCUUCAUUUAGAAAUAGAAAUGAAUGAUUUGUGUAAUUUAACUAAAUGGUGACUCGAAAGAAUCAUUAUUGAAAACAUGAUUGAGUUCAGAAUAUAUAUGCAAUGGGGUUUAUUGUUCUAUGAUUAGGGAAUCACAGUCAUCUCAUUACUAGGAACGUAAUGCUAGCACGGAUGCAGGUGGACUAUUUUAGCCAAUAAGCUAUACUUUGUUGUGAAGAACUUCAAUUAUAGGUAUGAUAUUGUUAUUCAUGUUCACCGUUGUUUGAUGUAUGUAAUCAAACUAGCUAUGAAUGUCUAGUUCUUAGGUCAACAUAUAAACCAUAUCAUAUAGCAGUCAUGAGUUCUUGAGAUUGCUGCUGAUUCUCUAUCCAGAAAAUCACAUAUAAUCUGUUUGAAACGUUCACCUAUCAACGAUGUGCUUCAGCAUUUUAUUUGUUUUCCAUCCAAAUGCCCAAUAGUGGCUAUCUAUCAGAGCUACUAUUUCCUUUAGGAAUCGGCAUCCCAACAAUGAGAACAGUGACAAGCUUUAUGGUGAUAUGGUGGAAAAGAGCACUGCUAUUCUCCAAGAAGCAACAUCUCAGCUUCCCCAAGAGACCUCGAUCGAGGACGUCAUUGUACCCAAGGAUGCAGAUGUUCAGAUCGUGACUGAGGUCCUGGAUCAGAAGUUCGGCCGUCGUCAUGGUAAGGCGGGGGUUCGUGAAACGAGUGCCUCUUCUUCCAGAUUGUCCACAGGAGAGGUCAAUUCCUUGAAGGAGGAAGUGACAACCCUAAGAGGUCAGCUUGUGGCCUAGGGCGACCACAUUAGGGCCCAUGACGAGAGGAUGAAUAUGAUUGUUCAGGCCUUAGCGAUGUCCGGCCUCCAAAUCCCGACGAUGCCAGCACCUAAUGUUGCUCCACCUUCGACUUCCCAGCCACUUCGCCCAGACGAUACCGAGUAGCAUGAUGUAUAUAUUAAACUUAGAAGACUUGUAGUUUUUUAUUUUUUUGUUCGGACAAACGUACAUUUUCAUAUAUUCUAUAAUUAAUUACUUUUUCUUGGUUUA